UCCAGCGAGGCUCGCCGGAGAAGACAAUCGGAGCUCUAGCUUCGGUGAUGAUGUGUUUGAGGUCUAGGCCGUGUGAUCCAAUUCUUGUGUUCUAAUCUUGACUGUGCAUUGUGAUUAACAAGUUUACAACGCAGUUGACUAGUGCCUUGGUGGAACGCGCGCUGUGGAUUAUCAGAUCUGCCACCUCAAUUAAUGAGGGAGAUCUGAUGGCCCACGUUUUUUUCGCAAUUUCUAAUUUUCC
This 241-nucleotide long non-coding RNA is filed under the name Lathyrus oleraceus (garden pea). Its description in RNAcentral is "Pisum sativum (pea) long non-coding RNA (PSAT_LNC014504)". Lineage: Eukaryota; Viridiplantae; Streptophyta; Magnoliopsida; Fabales; Fabaceae. The record is from RNAcentral.